RNAcentral lists this ribosomal RNA (745 nucleotides) under uncultured bacterium. RNAcentral's name for it is "bacterial SSU rRNA". It matches the Rfam family "Bacterial small subunit ribosomal RNA", at positions 11 to 743 of the family's 1533-position model. The record is from RNAcentral.
GUUUGAUCCUGGCUCAGAACGAACGCUGGCGGCGUGCUUAACACAUGCAAGUCAGGGAGAAAGUCUCUUCGGGGAUGAUUAAACCGGCGCACGGGUGAGUAACACGUGAGUGACCUGCCUUUUAGACUGGAACAACUUACCGAAAGGUGAGCUAAUGCCGGAUGAGUUAUAUAAGUGCAUGUUUAUAUAGGAAAAGUUGGGGAGACCUGACGCUGAAAGAUGGACUCGCGUCCCAUUAGCUAGUUGGUAGGGUAAUGGCCUACCAAGGCGACGAUGGGUAGCCGGCCUGAGAGGGUGGCCGGCCACACUGGGACUGAGACACGGCCCAGACUCCUACGGGAGGCAGCAGUGGGGAAUUUUGCGCAAUGCUCGUAAGAGUGACGCAGCGACGCCGCGUGAAUGACGAAGGCCUUCGGGUCGUAAAGUUCUUUCGACAGGGAAGAAAAUGCCUAUAAGUAACUGUGUAUGUAUUGACGGUACCUGUAUAAGCAGCCCCGGCUAACUCCGUGCCAGCAGCCGCGGUAAUACGGAGGGGGCGAGCGUUGUUCGGAGUGACUGGGCGUAAAGAGCACGUAGGCGGUGUUGUAAGUCAUUAGUCAAAGACUAGAGCUCAACUUUAGUAAGGCUAGUGAUACUAUAAUACUAGAGUAUCAGAGAGGAUUGCAGAAUUCCUGGUGUAGCGGUGAAAUGCGUAGAUAUCAGGAGGAAUACCGUUAGCGAAGGCGGCAAUCUGGCUGGAAACUGA